This 924-nucleotide ribosomal RNA is filed under the name Triticum aestivum (bread wheat). RNAcentral's name for it is "partial small subunit ribosomal RNA". The record is from RNAcentral. Lineage: Eukaryota; Viridiplantae; Streptophyta; Magnoliopsida; Poales; Poaceae.
AUGUCAUCCAAAUCAGUAAAGCGCCUAUACAUCAUCGACUGUUGUUCUUUACCUGACAUCAUGCGCCUUCGGAUUUGUGCCCCGAGUCUUAUCUCACUGCAGCUAGAGGAUUUUGAAGGCUUGACACCUUUUCUUGAAAACAUGCCAUUGCUACAAACAACUCAUGUUAACCUUGAUGAUGGAUGCCAUGAUCAUUGUCGUAGUAAUCGGGGGGUUUGUGAUAAUUUUGUCUGUGGUUGUCAUACUUAUCCUGUCAAGGAGGGGGUGCUUCUCAAUGGUUUGUCCAAUGCUGCCAAGUUGGACUUGAUAGCUUUACCUAAAAUGUUUCUCUACAGAUGGGAUUUGAAAUGGUCCCCCGUCUUUGGCAAAUUAAAGACUCUGUUACUCAAUAAAUGGUUUACGGCUAUUGACCUAGUUUGCAUUCUCCAACACUCUCCAGUUCUUGAGAUGCUCACUCUUCGGUUCGAUAACACUAAGGUAGAUUCGGCAUACUUCGUGACCAAAUUAGCAUCAAGGAGGAUCCACGUCCGGACUCAGAUUAUAUAUAAGCGAGUGAAUGGGGUCAUUGGAUGCCACGUUGCGGCAACAACAGAUAACUACUUUGUUCUUGUUUUUCUAAUGAUUUUUGUUUUCCUGCUCCGGUGCAACACCUGCCAAUGCUUGAAGGAAUGUGCGGUAUGGCUGCGGAAGUUGUCGAUCAUCGCUUCGGCCUCCUCCCCGGUGACAUCCUAUGGCGUGUGUUGCCCUUUUCAUCGGGGUCGUUGGAUGAGGCCCUGCAGACCCGUGUGCUCGACAACCGUGAUACCACAAGUCAUGGGUCGCCGACGGGGCUUGACUCAACUCGACCCCGCGCACCGUGCUCUCACGGGCUCGCUCUUCCACGACCGCAACAUCGGCAAGCAGGUUGGCAGGCUCGCUCACUGA